Molecule: ribosomal RNA, 468 nt
Filed under: uncultured bacterium
Lineage: Bacteria
Description: partial 16S ribosomal RNA
Rfam family: Bacterial small subunit ribosomal RNA
Source: RNAcentral
GACGAACGCUGGCGGCGUGCUUAACACAUGCAAGUCGAACGGAAAGGCCCUGCUUUUGUGGGGUGCUCGAGUGGCGAACGGGUGAGUAACACGCGAGUAACCUGCCCUUGACUUUGGGAUAACUUCAGGAAACUGGGGCUAAUACCGGAUAGGAGCUCCUGCUGCAUGGUGGGGGUUGGAAAGUUUCGGCGGUUGGGGAUGGACUCGCGGCUUAUCAGCUUGUUGGUGGGGUAGUGGCUUACCAAGGCUUUGACGGGUAGCCGGCCUGAGAGGGUGACCGGCCACAUUGGGACUGAGAUACGGCCCAGACUCCUACGGGAGGCAGCAGUGGGGAAUAUUGCACAAUGGGCGGAAGCCUGAUGCAGCAACGCCGCGUGCGGGAUGACGGCCUUCGGGUUGUAAACCGCUUUCGCCUGUGACGAAGCGUGAGUGACGGUAAUGGGUAAGGAAGCACCGGCUAACUACGUG